RNAcentral lists this long non-coding RNA (1515 nucleotides) under Ananas comosus (pineapple). RNAcentral's name for it is "long non-coding RNA (ACOM_LNC007629)". Lineage: Eukaryota; Viridiplantae; Streptophyta; Magnoliopsida; Poales; Bromeliaceae. The record is from RNAcentral.
GGGAAGGGCAAUUUGGGAAAGUGAGGUGGUGAUUUUCCACUUAACGCAUUUGGCUUAAAUUACGAAAUUACCCCUGACGGAGUAUAGUGUUGAAAUGACGAAUCUGCCCCUGACGGGGGUUUUUCUUUUUCUUUUUUUUUUCUCAUGAGCUCGGUGUGAAUCGGAGCCGUUCGAUCUGAAUCGAACGAUGGAUCUUCUGGUGCCAUUCUCUAUUAUCGGAUUUGGAUUAGAUACAGAACAGGCCGUGCAAUGUACGGUACGACAAUCAGAAAACAAGAGGACACGUGUGACGUCUACAUUAAAUUCUUCUGUGGGGCCCACUGUUAAAACUACCAUUUCAUGUUCCCACCAGAAUUUGAUUUUUUUUUCUUUUAUUUGGAAAAAUGUUAUAUGCUGCACUCCAUCCAUUUUAUAGAGAGAGAGAGAGAGAGAGAGUGUAGGACUACUAUAUUCUUAUGAGUAUAGAGCCAUUUUUACUCAUUAAUUAUUUUAAUAAUGGACCUUCUGAAUUGAUGAUCCAUAAUGUUAAAUAUAAACUUGAGUAUUUAAAACUUCUAGAAAAUAAAUUUUGUAAUUUUUCGAAAUCAUAAUAAAGUUCAUCAAGUGGGUAUAAAAUAAACAGUCAAAAUUGAACGUCUUUCUAAAAUAAAUGAUCGGAUCUUUCAAUUUAAAAUCGAAGUUAUUGAUCUUUAUUGGGAUAGUGAAUAAUAUUUUCUAUCAGAAAUUCAAUCAAUUUCGGUUCUUUUACACCUAUACUUUUAAACUAGCAAGUAUUUCAUACCAGCCAUUAAAAAUUUUUAAUUUCAAGAUCUUUUGAUCAUACGGUAAAUGAUAUCAAAAAAUUAUGAAAUUUGAUUUCUAGAAUUUUCAAAUACUCUAAACUCAUGUUUAACAGUAUAAAUCAUCGAUUUUAAAAUUCUAUCAUCGAGGACAAUUUAUGAGUACGAAUACUCAUAAAAAUAUUAUAGCCUUAAAAUUAUACUAAAAUUAUUGAAAAUAAAAAAGUAUCUCUCUAUUUUUCACUUCAGCUCCGUUUUGCUAAGGAUGUGUUUAUUUUACAGAAAGCAGAAAAAAAUUAAAAUAAUUUUUAGUCAUAAAUGCUCACUUAUGUUGUUUGAUUCAUUGCAAGUGAAUUAAUGCCUAACUUAAGCUAUUCAAAGUAUCCUAAUUAAAUUUAGUUCAUCAUGGGCUAAAAGUCAAUUAUAGAGAAAAGGAGUAUGAAAAAUAAUAAAAUAUUAAUGUUGGGGAACUUGUUUUCGUCCUCCAUAAUAUCAACGUGUGAGAAUUAAAUAUUUUUUAGUGAAAAAAAACAGAAAAUAAAAAAAUUUAUCUUUUAUACAAUUAACUUUCUGCCAAAUAGACAGCAGAACUAGAAUUUAGUUCUGCAACUAUAAAAAUAAUUUACAGAGGAGAACUAAUUUUCAUCUUAGCUUUAGUUCGACUAAAAAUCUAUUUUAACCUAAGCUUUAAUUUUGAUAAAACAAAUAUGCUUCAAAUAAUAUUAGUUAGGUCCCA